CCUACGGGAGGCAGCAGUGAGGAAUAUUGGUCAAUGGUCGGGAGACUGAACCAGCCAAGCCGCGUGAGGGAGGAAGGUACAGAGUAUCGUAAACCUCUUUUGUCAGGGAACAAAGGCGGGGACGUGUCCCCGGAUGAGUGUACCUGAAGAAAAAGCAUCGGCUAACUCCGUGCCAGCAGCCGCGGUAAUACGGAGGAUGCGAGCGUUAUCCGGAUUUAUUGGGUUUAAAGGGUGCGCAGGCGGUCUGUUAAGUCAGCGGUAAAAGCCCGGGGCUCAACCCCGGCCCGCCGUUGAAACUGGAAGUCUCGAGUUGGAGCGAAGUAUGCGGAAUGCGCGGUGUAGCGGUGAAAUGCAUAGAGAUCGCGCAGAACUCCGAUUGCGAAGGCAGCAUGCCGGCUCCACACGGACGCUGAGGCACGAAAGCGUGGGUAUCGAACAGGAUUAGAUACCCGAGUAGUC
This 459-nucleotide ribosomal RNA is filed under the name uncultured bacterium. RNAcentral's name for it is "partial 16S ribosomal RNA". It matches the Rfam family "Bacterial small subunit ribosomal RNA", at positions 338 to 795 of the family's 1533-position model. The record is from RNAcentral.